CUACGGGGGGCUGCAGUGGGGAAUAUUGCACAAUGGGCGCAAGCCUGAUGUAGCAACGCCGCGUGAGCGAAGAAGGUCUUCGGAUCGUAAAGCUCUGUCCUUGGGGAAGAAACAAAUGACGGUACCCAAGGAGGAAGCCCCGGCUAACUACGUGCCAGCAGCCGCGGUAAUACGUAAGGGGCGAGCGUUAUCCGGAAUUAUUGGGCGUAAAGAGUACGUAGGUGGUUUUGUAAGCAUGGGGUGAAAGACCGAGGCUCAACUUCGGUUAGCCUUGUGAACUGCAAGACUUGAGUGCAGGAGAGGAAAGUGGAAUUCCUAGUGUAGCGGUGAAAUGCGUAGAUAUUAGGAGGAACACCAGUGGCGAAGGCGACUUUCUGGACUGUAACUGACACUGAGGUACGAAAGCGUGGGUAGCAAACAGGAUUAGAUACCCCUGUAGUC
Molecule: ribosomal RNA, 441 nt
Filed under: uncultured bacterium
Lineage: Bacteria
Description: partial 16S ribosomal RNA
Rfam family: Bacterial small subunit ribosomal RNA
Source: RNAcentral